RNAcentral lists this ribosomal RNA (340 nucleotides) under Fritziana goeldii (Goeldi's frog). RNAcentral describes it as "partial 16S ribosomal RNA". Lineage: Eukaryota; Metazoa; Chordata; Amphibia; Anura; Hemiphractidae. The record is from RNAcentral.
GCCAAAAAUCUAGCCCCAAACAACCCAAACCUCAACACAUUUUACCGCCCCAUCAAAACAUUUAUUAAAUUUAGUAGAGGCGAUCGAAAGAUUAAUCGGCGCGAUAUUCACAGUACCGCAAGGGAAAGAUGAAAUAAAAAAUGAAAAAACCUUAAGCACCCAAAAAGCAGAGAUUUCACCUCGUACCUUUUGCAUCAUGGUUUAACUAGUCUAAUCAAGCGAAAAGACUUAAAGUUUGACCCCCCGAAACUAAGCGAGCUACUUCAAGGCAGCCAAACGAGCGACCCCGUCUCUGUUGCAAAAGAGUGGAAAGACCUUCAAGUAGAGGUGAUAGACCUAC